Molecule: microRNA, 18 nt
Filed under: Callorhinchus milii (elephant shark)
Lineage: Eukaryota; Metazoa; Chordata; Chondrichthyes; Chimaeriformes; Callorhinchidae
Description: eshark_mir-467_13
Source: RNAcentral
UGUGUGUGUGUGUUUGUG